This 71-nucleotide transfer RNA is filed under the name Dendropoma gregarium. RNAcentral describes it as "tRNA-Val". Lineage: Eukaryota; Metazoa; Mollusca; Gastropoda; Littorinimorpha; Vermetidae. The record is from RNAcentral.
GGCUACGUAGCAUAAUGAUAAUGCGUUUCAUUUACGUUGAAGAAAAUCUUUAGGAAUUAAAGCGUUGGUCA